RNAcentral lists this small nuclear RNA (165 nucleotides) under Salvator merianae (Argentine black and white tegu). Its description in RNAcentral is "U1 spliceosomal RNA (ENSSMRG00000005512.1)". It matches the Rfam family "U1 spliceosomal RNA". From Rfam's summary of the family: U1 is a small nuclear RNA (snRNA) component of the spliceosome (involved in pre-mRNA splicing). The record is from RNAcentral. Lineage: Eukaryota; Metazoa; Chordata; Lepidosauria; Squamata; Teiidae.
AAACANUGGGCACCCUGGUCUACACCAUGAUCAUGAAGGUGGUUUUCCCAGGGUGAGGCUCAUCCAUUGCACUCCGGGUGUGCUGACCCCUGUGAUUUCCCCAAAUGCGGGAAACUCGACUGCAUAAUUUGUGGUAGUGGGGGACUGCAUUUGCGCUUUCCCCUA